Lonchura striata (white-rumped munia) is the source of this 474-nucleotide non-coding RNA. The record is from RefSeq and is a predicted model, not a curated record. NCBI's taxonomy places the organism in Eukaryota, Metazoa, Chordata, Aves, Passeriformes, Estrildidae.
AGAAGGGGAAAGGAAAAAUAAACGGAGGAAAGAAAUAAAAAGACAGAAAGAACGGCUAGAAUAGAAAAGAAUGGAAACCAAAAGGGAAGGGCGAAGGAAAAGCUCCAGAGCGAGGGAACAAGGAAGAGGAGGAGGAAGAAAAGAAAACAAAGACAGAAGGAAAAAAGGCCAGGGAAGAGAGAAGAAAGGAAAUGAAAACUGCAGCGCAUUAAAAAGGGGAGAAACGGGCAAGAGAGGCGAAGGCACGGGAAGGGUAAUGCGUGGAGAAGCAGCGUCGCUUAUACAAGAUGUUGAUGGAAUUUACUAUAUUAUUAAAGGAAAAAAAAAAAAUCCCCUUUCAAGAAUAAAGUGUAUCAACUUACAACACAACAGACGGCAGAGGGAUAAGUGAAACAGACAAAAGACAAACAAGAUAAUAAUCUGUUUCCAAUCAGUUAAGCCCUGUAGAAUUUGUAAUACGCGGUUUGCAUAUUC